Molecule: ribosomal RNA, 468 nt
Filed under: uncultured bacterium
Lineage: Bacteria
Description: partial 16S ribosomal RNA
Rfam family: Bacterial small subunit ribosomal RNA
Source: RNAcentral
GACGAACGCUGGCGGCGUGCUUAACACAUGCAAGUCGAACGGAAAGGCCCUGCUUUUGUGGGGUGCUCGAGUGGCGAACGGGUGAGUAACACGUGAGUAACCUGCCCUUGACUUUGGGAUAACUUCAGGAAACUGGGGCUAAUACCGGAUAGGAGCUCCUGCUGCAUGGUGGGGGUUGGAAAGUUUCGGCGGUUGGGGAUGGACUCGCGGCUUAUCAGCUUGUUGGUGGGGUAGUGGCUUACCAAGGCUUUGACGGGUAGCCGGCCUGAGAGGGUGACCGGCCACAUUGGUACUGAGAUACGGCCCAGACUCCUACGGGAGGCAGCAGUGGGGAAUAUUGCACAAUGGGCGGAAGCCUGAUGCAGCAACGCCGCGUGCGAGAUGACGGCCUUCGGGUUGUAAACCGCUUUCGCCUGUGACGAAGCGUGAGUGACGGUAAUGGGUAAAGAAGCACCGGCUAACUACGUG